UACGAAGGGUGCAAGCGUUACUCGGAAUCACUGGGCGUAAAGCGUGCGUAGGCGGUUUCUUAAGUCUGUCGUGAAAGCCCUGGGCUCAACCUGGGAAUGGCGAUGGAUACUGGGAAGCUAGAGUGUGAUAGAGGAUGGUGGAAUUCCCGGUGUAGCGGUGAAAUGCGUAGAGAUCGGGAGGAACACCAGUGGCGAAGGCGGCCAUCUGGAUCAACACUGACGCUGAGGCACGAAAGCGUGGGGAGCAAACAGG
This 253-nucleotide ribosomal RNA is filed under the name uncultured bacterium. RNAcentral describes it as "partial 16S ribosomal RNA". It matches the Rfam family "Bacterial small subunit ribosomal RNA", at positions 524 to 776 of the family's 1533-position model. The record is from RNAcentral.